RNAcentral lists this ribosomal RNA (253 nucleotides) under uncultured bacterium. RNAcentral describes it as "partial 16S ribosomal RNA". It matches the Rfam family "Bacterial small subunit ribosomal RNA", at positions 524 to 776 of the family's 1533-position model. The record is from RNAcentral.
UACGGGGGGGGCAAGCGUUGUUCGGAAUUACUGGGCGUAAAGGGCUCGUAGGCGGCCAACUAAGUCGGAUGUGAAAUCCCCAGGCUUAACCUGGGAACUGCAUCCGAUACUGGAUGGCUUGAAUCCGGGAGAGGGAUGCAGAAUUCCAGGUGUAGCGGUGAAAUGCGUAGAUAUCUGGAGGAACACCGGUGGCGAAGGCGGCAUCCUGGACCGGCAUUGACGCUGAGGCGCGAAAGCUAGGGGAGCAAACAGG